RNAcentral lists this ribosomal RNA (465 nucleotides) under uncultured bacterium. RNAcentral's name for it is "partial 16S ribosomal RNA". It matches the Rfam family "Bacterial small subunit ribosomal RNA", at positions 338 to 795 of the family's 1533-position model. The record is from RNAcentral.
CCUACGGGGUGCAGCAGUAGGGAAUCUUCCACAAUGGGCGAAAGCCUGAUGGAGCAACGCCGCGUGGGUGAAGAAGGUCUUCGGAUCGUAAAACCCUGUUGUUAGAGAAGAAAGUGCGUGAGAGUAACUGUUCACGUUUCGACGGUAUCUAACCAGAAAGCCACGGCUAACUACGUGCCAGCAGCCGCGGUAAUACGUAGGUGGCAAGCGUUAUCCGGAUUUAUUGGGCGUAAAGGGAACGCAGGCGGUCUUUUAAGUCUGAUGUGAAAGCCUUCGGCUUAACCGGAGUAGUGCAUUGGAAGCUGGGAGACUGGAGUGCAGAAGAGGAGAGUGGAACUCCAUGUGUAGCGGUGAAAUGCGUAGAUAUAUGGAAGAACACCAGUGGCGAAAGCGGCUCUCUGGUCUGUAACUGACGCUGAGGUUCGAAAGCGUGGGUAGCAAACAGGAUUAGAUACCCCGGUAGUC